AUUAAUGUAGCCUUUUCUUAGAGAGAGUUUGCAUGCCUCUGGUUUAGUGUUUUGCUGCCAAUAUUUAUUUUAUAACAUAGUUGUUUCUUAAAAAAACAAUAUGUAUAUUGAAUAAUUUUCUCCAGUGUCCUACAGUCAAGUCUUUAAAAAGGUUCAGUAAGAUUUGGAUUAAGAACACACCAAUCUGCUUCAGUUUUCUGGAAAGCAUAACACUUCUUAUCCUCCACAUUCAUGUGAGAAGAGUUAUCAAAUGAGGUCUGAUUUAAUUAAAAGUAGGUAUAAUCUCCACAAACAUAUGAGAGCCAGUCAGAAAAAAAGAGAGGAGAGGUGGAAGGAGGCACAACAAAGCCUGCUGCUUCCCCCUGCAUCUCCAGCACUGCACUUAUAUGAAACUUCCCACUCUUCACGCUAUAGAAAAAGAGUCUGAAAAGGGGCAGGAAAAUCAACCACAGUCACCUCAAGAGCACACCAGUCUUCCUGCUGUAUGGAGGAGCCUCUUUUGCCUGGGAUCAUGCAGGCAUGGCAAUACGUGCUGAGGUGUGAAUUUAGUGCUAUAUUGUCUGCAAGCUACUACGAGACACAUACUUGGUUAAGUACCUACUUUGCAGUGAUUUCUCCUAUGGUUGUGAAACUUGAAGAUGUGACUAAAGGGAAAGAGAGCUGAGGCUGGAAAUGUCUGAUGUGGAAGACCAAGUGCAAUGUAAGACCCUCUAUCUCCUGAGAGCAUCUGUCCUUCUCCCAUGAAGAAAAGGUACAUGAGGCAUUCAUAGAGAAAAGAGAAUGACAACAUGCAAGGAGGAGGCUGGCACUCUGACUGCUCAUAAAGAUGGCCAUGCAGGCAAGUGAAAAGAGAGACAUUUCCAAAUUCUCAGUGCAUUUUGGAUGGUGGAAGCUUUCCUCAGUGCCCUGUCUUUUGCCAAGCAGCUCGGAAGGGUGAAUGUGUUCUGGAGGGUACAUAUGAUUCAGGUGAUUCAAAGUUGCACUGCCCCAGAAAUCUAAUCUACAUGUGGAUGUAAUGAAAUAUGAGCCAACAAAAGACAAUUUCUCUAAUGAAAUACUCUGGAAGGGAGAGUUCACCUGACACAAAACUGUGUUUAUAUUCCGUUGUUCUAGUCUAGUCUACAGGGUAAUUACAUUUGGUGGGGUUAACAUGUAUCAGGAAUCUCAUUGAAGGUCCAAUAACAGUGUUUAUAGCUGUCAAGUGUAUUGACUGAAAGCGCUGAUUGCUAUCUCCAGCGUUACCAAGCCCGUUGGGGUCUCCAGUCAAAUCAUUAAGGACAAUGCACAUAAUAAUCACAAGCACUUGGUGUCUUCCUGUUAGGGAAGUGGCAUUUUUUCCUUCUUUUCAAAUCCUUAUACCUGUGGCUUCAGUGUGGACCUCAGGAACUCCUUUGGUUAAUAUUUUCUGCCUUGUCCACAACUGAGUCCAGUGCUAUGAAUUCAAAGAAAUAAUAUUUUGAAGACACAUAAAUACUUACAGCGGGAGGAGGUGAAGCAAACACUGUAAAGGGAGUUUGUGACUCCUGUGCUACUGCUUUCCGAAGGGCUGUUGGAUUUUGCAGUACUUGCCCAGCUCUGGUUAUGCUUGAAUAUAUCAGUAUGGGGAAAUAGCUCUCUAAUGGUGGAAUGCAGAAUUCAAGUGCUCUUGUCUCAGCAUUUAUAUAUAUGUAUUAUGCAUAUGUAUAUGUUUAAAAUGAAUGAAACCCUACUUUAUAUUAAGGGAAGAGAUAUUCUUGGCGACUUAAAUUGGGAAGUAACUAGGGGAAAAUGGCUCUCUUUCAGAAAAGUAAGCAAAGGAGGUACAGGCAGUGACUUUAAAUUGGACAUUAAACUAAUCCAGGGCUAUACUUUAAUAAAGGCUAGUGCUGGGAAUUCUUAUGGAUUUUCUAGCUCAUUGCUGGGAUGACAGAGAAAUACAAUAAAUGUUCUAUUACUUACACAAGCUGCUGGUUUUCAGAAAAUUAGUCACCAGUGACCUUUUACCCUUUGUCUUGCU
Molecule: long non-coding RNA, 1996 nt
Organism: Gallus gallus (chicken)
Lineage: Eukaryota; Metazoa; Chordata; Aves; Galliformes; Phasianidae
Source: Ensembl